UGGCUUCUCCUUCGUAAUCCAGUCAGGACUUAAAACAUCAACUACUAGUCAACGACGGAACCUUAUGAAUUGCUAUCUGGCAUCACAUUUAUCAUUUAUGAUCCAUUUUUAACAAGUCAAUGGGUUCUGAGUCAACCGUCAUCGGAAAUGAGAUCAUUUAAAGCAGCUCUCCUUUUGUUCUUAGUCCCUCAGGGAAGUAGCGAAGAGUAAAAUGGUGCUUAUUUAGUAUCUAUCAAGUCAUUCGUCAAUCAUCAAAUAAUCUCAUGAAGAUCUGAUCUAAUCUCGUCUUCUAUCGCGGCGUCAGAUUUAUGAUGCAUGAUCAAUUUUCUCGAUCAUAUUUAUGAUCAUCAAAUAACCCUUCCCUACGCGUACGAGUCAUUCGUCCAUCAUCAAAUAAUAACAUGAAGAUGUGGGCCAAUCUCCUGUUCUGUCACGCCAUCUCAUGGAUGAUUGAUUAUCCAAUC
Molecule: long non-coding RNA, 464 nt
Filed under: Spirodela polyrhiza (greater duckweed)
Lineage: Eukaryota; Viridiplantae; Streptophyta; Magnoliopsida; Alismatales; Araceae
Description: long non-coding RNA (SPOL_LNC000194)
Source: RNAcentral